GCAAGUCGAGCGAGAAGCUCCUGAUUGAUCCUUCGGGUGAGAGAUGGAAUGGAAAGCGGCGGACGGGUGAGUAACGCGUGGGUAACCUGCCCCAUACAAAGGGAUAGCCACUGGAAACGGUGAUUAAUACCAUAUAACAUCAUAGUGUCGCAUGACACAUUGGUCAAAGAUUUAUCGGUAUGGGAUGGACCCGCGUCUGAUUAGCUAGUUGGUAAGGUAACGGCUUACCAUGGCGACGAUCUCUAGCUGGUUUGAGAGGAUGAUC
Molecule: ribosomal RNA, 265 nt
Filed under: uncultured bacterium
Lineage: Bacteria
Description: partial 16S ribosomal RNA
Rfam family: Bacterial small subunit ribosomal RNA
Source: RNAcentral